RNAcentral lists this ribosomal RNA (357 nucleotides) under Staphylococcus aureus. RNAcentral describes it as "partial 23S ribosomal RNA". It matches the Rfam family "Bacterial large subunit ribosomal RNA", at positions 1409 to 1761 of the family's 2925-position model. The record is from RNAcentral. Lineage: Bacteria; Bacillati; Bacillota; Bacilli; Caryophanales; Staphylococcaceae.
GCGUAGGCGAUGGAUAACAGGUUGAUAUUCCUGUACCACCUAUAAUCGUUUUAAUCGAUGGGGGGACGCAGUAGGAUAGGCGAAGCGUGCGAUUGGAUUGCACGUCUAAGCAGUAAGGCUGAGUAUUAGGCAAAUCCGGUACUCGUUAAGGCUGAGCUGUGAUGGGGAGAAGACAUUGAGUCUUCGAGUCGUUGAUUUCACACUGCCGAGAAAAGCCUCUAGAUAGAAAAUAGGUGCCCGUACCGCAAACCGACACAGGUAGUCAAGAUGAGAAUUCUAAGGUGAGCGAGCGAACUCUCGUUAAGGAACUCGGCAAAAUGACCCCGUAACUUCGGGAGAAGGGGUGCUCUUUAGGGU